This 216-nucleotide ribosomal RNA is filed under the name Campeiostachys nutans. RNAcentral describes it as "Elymus nutans partial small subunit ribosomal RNA". The stretch from base 38 to 216 matches the Rfam family "Eukaryotic small subunit ribosomal RNA", at positions 684 to 864 of the family's 1831-position model. Lineage: Eukaryota; Viridiplantae; Streptophyta; Magnoliopsida; Poales; Poaceae. The record is from RNAcentral.
GGAUCAAUAUAUCGGUCGUGCCUUCGGUACGUACUGGUAUCAUUGGUUUCUCCUUUCUGACGAACCAUGAUGUCAUUAAUUUGGUGUUAUGGGGAGUUAGGACCGUUACUUUGAAAAAAUUAGAGUGUUUAAAGCAGGCUCACGCUUGAAUACAUUAGCAUGGAAUAAUGAAAUAGGACGUUUGAUUCUAUUUUGUUGGUUUCUAGGAUCGACGUA